RNAcentral lists this ribosomal RNA (495 nucleotides) under uncultured bacterium. Its description in RNAcentral is "partial 16S ribosomal RNA". It matches the Rfam family "Bacterial small subunit ribosomal RNA", at positions 28 to 507 of the family's 1533-position model. The record is from RNAcentral.
GAUGAACGCUGGCGGCGUGCCUAAUACAUGCAAGUAGAACGCUGAAGGAGGAGCUUGCUCUUCUGGAUGAGUUGCGAACGGGUGAGUAACGCGUAGGUAACCUGCCUGGUAGCGGGGGAUAACUAUUGGAAACGAUAGCUAAUACCGCAUGACAACAGUUAUUGCAUGAUAACUGUUUAAAAGGGGCAACUGCUCCACUACCAGAUGGACCUGCGUUGUAUUAGCUAGUUGGUGAGGUAACGGCUCACCAAGGCGACGAUACAUAGCCGACCUGGGAGGGGGAUCGGCCACACUGGGACUGAGACACGGCCCAGACUCCUACGGGAGGCAGCAGUAGGGAAUCUUCGGCAAUGGACGGAAGUCUGACCGAGCAACGCCGCGGGAGUGAAGAAGGGUUUCGGAUCGUAAAGCUCUGUUGUAAGAGAAGAACGAGUGUGAGAGUGGAAAGUUCACACUGUGACGGUAUCUUACCAGAAAGAGACGGCUAACUACGUG